RNAcentral lists this ribosomal RNA (467 nucleotides) under uncultured bacterium. RNAcentral's name for it is "partial 16S ribosomal RNA". It matches the Rfam family "Bacterial small subunit ribosomal RNA", at positions 28 to 507 of the family's 1533-position model. The record is from RNAcentral.
GACGAACGCUGGCGGCGUGCUUAACACAUGCAAGUCGAACGGAAAGGCCUCUUUCGGGGGGUACUCGAGUGGCGAACGGGUGAGUAACACGUGAGUAACUUGCCCUUGACUUUGGGAUAACUUCAGGAAACUGGGGCUAAUACCGGAUAGGAGCUCCUGCUGCAUGGUGGGGGUUGGAAAGUUUCGGCGGUUGGGGAUGGACUCGCGGCUUAUCAGCUUGUUGGUGGGGUAGUGGCUUACCAAGGCUUUGACGGGUAGCCGGCCUGAGAGGGUGACCGGCCACAUUGGGACUGAGAUACGGCCCAGACUCCUACGGGAGGCAGCAGUGGGGAAUAUUGCACAAUGGGUGGAAGCCUGAUGCAGCAACGCCGUGUGCGGGAUGACGGCCUUCGGGUUGUAAACCGCUUUCGCUCAUGACGAAGCUUUGUGUGACGGUAGUGGGUAAAGAAGCACCGGCUAACUACGUG